RNAcentral lists this ribosomal RNA (253 nucleotides) under uncultured bacterium. RNAcentral describes it as "partial 16S ribosomal RNA". It matches the Rfam family "Bacterial small subunit ribosomal RNA", at positions 524 to 776 of the family's 1533-position model. The record is from RNAcentral.
UACGAGGGGUGCAAACGUUAUUCGGAUUUAUUGGGCGUAAAGGGUGCGUAGACGGCAUAUUAAGUCAACUGUUAAAUCUUCCGGCCUAACCGGAAGUCUGCGGUAGAAACUGAUAUGAUUGAGGAUGGAAGAGAGAAGUGGAAUUCUCGGAGUAGCGGUAAAAUGCGUAGAUCUCGAGAGGAACACCGAUGGCGAAGGCAGCUUCUUGGUCCAAUCCUGACGUUGAGGUACGAAAGCGUGGGUAGCAAACAGG